CCUACGGGAGGCUGCAGUGGGGAAUAUUGGACAAUGGGCGAAAGCCUGAUCCAGCCAUGCCGCGUGUGUGAAGAAGGCCUUCGGGUUGUAAAGCACUUUCAGUGGGGAAGAAAGCCUUGGGGCUAAUACCCUCGAGGAAGGACAUCACCCACAGAAGAAGCACCGGCUAACUCCGUGCCAGCAGCCGCGGUAAUACGGAGGGUGCGAGCGUUUAUCGGAAUUACUGGGCGUAAAGCGCGCGUAGGCGGUCUGAUAAGCCGGUUGUGAAAGCCCCGGGCUCAACCUGGGAACGGCAUCCGGAACUGUCAGGCUAGAGUGCAGGAGAGGAAGGUAGAAUUCCCGGUGUAGCGGUGAAGUGCGUAGAGAUCGGGAGGAAUACCAGUGGCGAAGGCGGCCUUCUGGACUGACACUGACGCUGAGGUGCGAAAGCGUGGGUAGCAAACAGGAUUAGAUACCCCAGUAGUC
This 465-nucleotide ribosomal RNA is filed under the name Vreelandella stevensii. RNAcentral's name for it is "partial 16S ribosomal RNA". It matches the Rfam family "Bacterial small subunit ribosomal RNA", at positions 338 to 795 of the family's 1533-position model. Lineage: Bacteria; Pseudomonadati; Pseudomonadota; Gammaproteobacteria; Oceanospirillales; Halomonadaceae. The record is from RNAcentral.